This 253-nucleotide ribosomal RNA is filed under the name uncultured bacterium. RNAcentral describes it as "partial 16S ribosomal RNA". It matches the Rfam family "Bacterial small subunit ribosomal RNA", at positions 524 to 776 of the family's 1533-position model. The record is from RNAcentral.
UACGUAGGGUGCAAGCGUUGUCCGGAAUUAUUGGGCGUAAAGAGCUCGUAGGCGGUUUGUCGCGUCUGCUGUGAAAACUGGAGGCUCAACCUCCAGCCUGCAGUGGGUACGGGCAGACUAGAGUGCGGUAGGGGAGAUUGGAAUUCCUGGUGUAGCGGUGGAAUGCGCAGAUAUCAGGAGGAACACCAAUGGCGAAGGCGGCUCACUGGCCCGUAACUGACGCUCAGGCGCGAUAGCGUGGGGAUCAAACAGG